Gorilla gorilla gorilla (western lowland gorilla) is the source of this 351-nucleotide long non-coding RNA. RefSeq lists it as uncharacterized. The record is from RefSeq and is a predicted model, not a curated record. The transcript is spliced from 3 exons. NCBI's taxonomy places the organism in Eukaryota, Metazoa, Chordata, Mammalia, Primates, Hominidae.
ACCUCCCCGCAAGCUGAGGGAGCCGGCUCCGGCCUUGGCCAGCUCACAAAGGGGCUCCCACAGUGCAGCGGCGGGCUGAAGGGCUGCUCAAGUGCCGCCAAAGUGGGAGCCCAGGCAGAGGAGGCGCCGAGAGCGAGCGAGGGCUGCGAGGACUGCCAGCAUGCUGUCACCUCUCACGGGCUGUACAGGAAGCAUGAUGCUGGCAUCUUCUCAGCUUCUGGUGAAGCCUCAGGAAGCUUCUACUCAUGCCAGAAGGCAAAGCAGGAGCAGCAGGUCACAUGGCAAGUGACUGGAAGGCAGCUAUAUUUAAAUUUCUAUAAAGAUCAGAUCCUCUAUGGACAACUUUUACUG